ACGCUGGCGGCGUGCCUAAUACAUGCAAGUAGAACGCUGAAGAGAGGAGCUUGCUCUUCUUGGAUGAGUUGCGAACGGGUGAGUAACGCGUAGGUAACCUGCCUUGUAGCGGGGGAUAACUAUUGGAAACGAUAGCUAAUACCGCAUAACAAUGGAUGACACAUGUCAUUUAUUUGAAAGGGGCAAUUGCUCCACUACAAGAUGGACCUGCGUUGUAUUAGCUAGUAGGUGAGGUAACGGCUCACCUAGGCGACGAUACAUAGCCGACCUGAGAGGGUGAUCGGCCACACUGGGACUGAGACACGGCCCAGACUCCUACGGGAGGCAGCAGUAGGGAAUCUUCGGCAAUGGGGGCAACCCUGACCGAGCAACGCCGCGUGAGUGAAGAAGGUUUUCGGAUCGUAAAGCUCUGUUGUAAGUCAAGAACGAGUGUGAGAGUGGAAAGUUCACACUGUGACGGUAGCUUACCAGAAAGGGACGGCUAACUACGUGCCAGCAGCCGCGGUAAUACGUAGGUCCCGAGCGUUGUCCGGAUUUAUUGGGCGUAAAGCGAGCGCAGGCGGUUUGAUAAGUCUGAAGUUAAAGGCUGUGGCUCAACCAUAGUUCGCUUUGGAAACUGUCAAACUUGAGUGCAGAAGGGGAGAGUGGAAUUCCAUGUGUAGCGGUGAAAUGCGUAGAUAUAUGGAGGAACACCGGUGGCGAAAGCGGCUCUCUGGUCUGUAACUGACGCUGAGGCUCGAAAGCGUGGGGAGCGAACAGGAUUAGAUACCCUGGUAGUCCACGCCGUAAACGAUGAGUGCUAGGUGUUGGAUCCUUUCCGGGAUUCAGUGCCGCAGCUAACGCAUUAAGCACUCCGCCUGGGGAGUACGACCGCAAGGUUGAAACUCAAAGGAAUUGACGGGGGCCCGCAC
RNAcentral lists this ribosomal RNA (911 nucleotides) under uncultured bacterium. RNAcentral describes it as "bacterial SSU rRNA". It matches the Rfam family "Bacterial small subunit ribosomal RNA", at positions 33 to 926 of the family's 1533-position model. The record is from RNAcentral.